This 497-nucleotide ribosomal RNA is filed under the name uncultured bacterium. RNAcentral's name for it is "partial 16S ribosomal RNA". It matches the Rfam family "Bacterial small subunit ribosomal RNA", at positions 28 to 507 of the family's 1533-position model. The record is from RNAcentral.
GAUGAACGCUGGCGGCGUGCCUAAUACAUGCAAGUCGAGCGAACAGACGAGGAGCUUGCUCCUCUGACGUUAGCGGCGGACGGGUGAGUAACACGUGGAUAACCUACCUAUAAGACUGGGAUAACUUCGGGAAACCGGAGCUAAUACCGGAUAAUAUAUUGAACCGCAUGGUUCAAUAGUGAAAGACGGUUUUGCUGUCACUUAUAGAUGGAUCCGCGCCGCAUUAGCUAGUUGGUAAGGUAACGGCUUACCAAGGCAACGAUGCGUAGCCGACCUGAGAGGGUGAUCGGCCACACUGGAACUGAGACACGGUCCAGACUCCUACGGGAGGCAGCAGUAGGGAAUCUUCCGCAAUGGGCGAAAGCGUGACGGAGCAACGCCGCGUGAGUGAUGAAGGUCUUCGGAGCGUAAAACUCUGUUAUUAGGGAAGAACAAAUGUGUAAGUAACUAUGCACGUCUUGACGGUACCUAAUCAGAAAGCCACGGCUAACUACGUG